ACGCUCGACACCUACUGGAGGCAGCAGUUGGGAAUAUUGGACAAUGGAGGAAACUCUGAUCCAGUGACGCCGCGUGAAGGAAGAAGGUCUUCGGAUUGUAAACUUAUUUUGUCAGGGAAGAAAAAAUGACUGUACCUGAAGAAAAAGCACCGGCUAACUACGUGCCAACAGCCGCGGUAAUCUGAGCGGGCUGGCAAGGC
RNAcentral lists this ribosomal RNA (200 nucleotides) under uncultured bacterium. RNAcentral's name for it is "partial 16S ribosomal RNA". It matches the Rfam family "Bacterial small subunit ribosomal RNA", at positions 328 to 539 of the family's 1533-position model. The record is from RNAcentral.